This 344-nucleotide ribosomal RNA is filed under the name uncultured bacterium. RNAcentral describes it as "bacterial SSU rRNA". It matches the Rfam family "Bacterial small subunit ribosomal RNA", at positions 8 to 334 of the family's 1533-position model. The record is from RNAcentral.
AGGGUUUGAUUAUGGCUCAGGAUGAACGCUGGCGGCGUGCUUAACACAUGCAAGUCGAGCGAAGCAAUUUAAGUGAAGUUUUCGGAUGGAUCUUAGAUUGACUGAGCGGCGGACGGGUGAGUAACGCGUGGAUAACCUGCCUCACACAGGGGGAUAACAGUUAGAAAUGACUGCUAAUACCGCAUAAGCGCACAGUACCGCAUGGUAUAGUGUGAAAAACUCCGGUGGUGUGAGAUGGAUCCGCGUCUGAUUAGGUAGUUGGUGAGGUAACGGCCCACCAAGCCGACGAUCAGUAGCCGACCUGAGAGGGUGACCGGCCACAUUGGGACUGAGACACGGCCCAA